This 49-nucleotide transfer RNA is filed under the name Otoglossum harlingii. RNAcentral describes it as "partial tRNA-Leu". Lineage: Eukaryota; Viridiplantae; Streptophyta; Magnoliopsida; Asparagales; Orchidaceae. The record is from RNAcentral.
AAAUCCGUCGAAUUUUUUAAUCGGGAGGGUUCAAGUCCCUCUAUCCCCA